RNA transcript from Sorex araneus (European shrew), 2042 nucleotides. It is a transcript of the gene named golgin A7, with no coding region annotated. Lineage: Eukaryota; Metazoa; Chordata; Mammalia; Eulipotyphla; Soricidae. The transcript has 6 exons. The record is from RefSeq and is a predicted model, not a curated record.
AGGUAAGACGUGGAGCUGCGGGGCGGGGUUACGACGCUUUUUUGCGGCCAGACGUAAGUAAGGUCGUAGGCGGUGCGACUGCAGCUGGUGGCCGAGGAGGCGGCGCCGCCCGGCCUGUCCUCGCCAUGCGGCCGCAGCAGGCGCCGGUGUCCGGGAAGGUGUUCGUGCAGCGAGACUACAGCAGCGGCACGCGCUGCCAGUUCCAGACCAAGUUCCCCGCCGAGCUGGAGAACCGGAUUGAUAGGCAGCAGUUUGAAGAAACAGUUCGAACUCUAAAUAACCUUUAUGCAGAAGCAGAGAAGCUUGGGGGCCAAUCAUACCUGGAAGGCUGUUUGGCUUGUUUAACAGCAUACACUAUCUUCUUAUGCAUGGAAACUCAUUAUGAGAAGGUUUUAAAGAAAGUCUCCAAAUAUAUUCAAGAGCAAAAUGAGAAGAUAUAUGCUCCUCAAGGCCUGCUCCUGACAGAUCCCAUUGAAAGAGGUCUUCGAGUUUUAGAUUGAAAUUACCAUUUAUGAAGACAGAAGCAUGACCAGUGGAAGAUAAACCAUAAAUUAUAGAUACCACCUCCAGCUGGACCCCUCAUCUAUCCGCUGGCUGAUCACUGAGUGUUCCCUACCUCCUCUCCAGAGCGUCAUUCCUUUGUAUCUGCUGCCAGAGCCACGGUGCCAUUUACUCCAAGGACUAACUUUCUAAAAUUCCACACCUGGAGUGACUUCUAGUCACUCAGCAUCCACUUUGUGUCUCCAAAUUGUGUAAGACUGUAUAUCUUUUAAUUUGUUUCUGAGAAAACACAAUGAGGCAUUUCAAUUUUUAAAUUUAAAAUCAGUAAUAAAAUUUACAGUUGUGAAUUUAUUAUUUGCAAAAUAAAUUCACAAGGUUUAUUUUAUAUCUGCCACCGGUAUCAAUGGUUUACUUCAUUACUUGGGCCAGCUUCCCAGGUGGCUCUAGACUUCAAAUCACAUCUUAACCAGUAUUUAGUUCUAGUCCUUGAAAUUAAGACACUCUUCUCCAGGAUUUUGGUGAUGGUAGACUGUGUCUACGAAUUUGCUUAUCCCAGAUUUCAAAGAACUACCAGUUUUGCCAUAAUUUAAAUCCUAGAUAUCAAUUUUUUUCUGUUCAUUUUCUCAAAGUGAAACUCAUUGAAAAAAAUAAUGUAUAAUGUCAUUUGUUUCAUUAUAGGAGUUAUUCCUAACUAAUGCAGUAUGUAAUGAAUGCAAUUAUGCAAUUCCACUUGUUUGAGGGUUUUCUUGUUUUCCUGAUGAGAAGUGGUUGAGGAGGUUGGGUUGCGGGAGGGAGGUUUUUGGAAUUUGGUGUUUUUUGGGGGUUUUCUCUUUUUCGGUUUUUUUGAGGGUUUGGUUUUAUUGGGUUUUAUUUUUUGAGAAUUUUGUUAUUGCACUAUCUUGAAAGUUGGGAAAGAUAUGCUAUGUGUUGCUUGUUCAUUACAAAAAUAAAUAAGCACAAUAAAGUGGAUGCUAACCCAUCAAACUCAUCAGUGUCCCUGCUGUGUCCCUGAAUAUGUAAUAAGCAAGUGUAAUAAAUAUUUUAAUUAUAGUUUUGUUAUAAAUAUAACUUUAAAAAUUUGAUAGGAACAAUACUGUAUAUUGCUGAUUUUUAACUGUCCCUUAUGGUUUAUAAACUUUCCUUAUAUACAGUAUUCAGUACCCAGAAAUAUUAUGAUUGGUAACUUAACUGUCUUAAGUCAACAUUUCUAGUUCUUUUAGAUACAUGUUUUUUCGUUUGGGGCUUCUUAUGCCCUUGUUCAUCAUUGUGGUUUGAGAGAACUGUAUUUGGAAGAAAGUUAAGAAAUAUAUUAGGAGAAAAUGAAAUAGUUAAAAGUUUUACUUUCAGAGAUAUUGUAGGUGCUAAUACUGGAUAUAAUCUUUUAAAUUUAAUUUUCUUUAUGGAUUUGUUAGUUAUUCAAUAAAUCUCAUUGGUUUAUUUAAUAUUUUAAUUGUAUAAAACUCCUCUUACUUUUCAGCCUGUAAUCGUCUGCCUUUGAAACCUGUUGCAAUAACACAUUAGUAAAACUUUUCUUAAACAAA